Long non-coding RNA from Cyprinus carpio (common carp), 1214 nucleotides. RefSeq lists it as uncharacterized. The record is from RefSeq and is a predicted model, not a curated record. The transcript has 3 exons. Lineage: Eukaryota; Metazoa; Chordata; Actinopteri; Cypriniformes; Cyprinidae.
UCUUCAAACAGAUUCACUCCCGAAACCCUUCAUCAGUGUUAGUGAUGACCAGCUCAUCAUAUCAUGUGAAAUACCACUUUCAGUCAGAUCUGAUUUCAACUGUAGUCUCUACACUGAGGAUGAUGUUCUUCUGUAUCAACGUGUCUCUCUGUGGAGUCAGUCUGGAAAGAAUCUUUGUAUGUUUUAUGUAAAUCGUAGUGAACUCUUGACACGAUCAGUGAACAGCAGACAGCUGAUCUGUGUUUAUUCACGCAAGACUGAACCUGAGAUCAAAUCACCACACAGUGACACAUACACCUUCAGAGACAUAAGCACCGUCAGAGACACAAUCACCAUCAGAGACACAAUCACCAUCAGAGCUUCAACACCAACCACCACUAAACAUACGACUACAACAACAGCCAUGACAACCUAUGUCCAAUCCAAGACAAGCCUGCCAACCAGCAAAGCAACGGAAACCCAGAGUAAGUUCAACCACUCUUCCUCAAUGAGAAAAGUCACUGUGUAGAAUGAAUAUGUUGGAUUCAAGUCAUAUUAAAAUAUACAGCUGGGAUGCAGUUUCAAAGUUUAUUGGUACAUGAUGCAGUGUCGGCCCUACCUAAUAAGCGAUAUAAGCGCCUGCAUAGGCCCCCCGUGGCCACCAGGGGGCCCCGUGUCAGGAGUUCAGACAGAAACCACGGGAGUGAGGCGAGAUGAUGGUGGAGAUGGCAACAGCAGAGCUGAGCUGGAGCGUUCUCUGAAGCUGUACUUCCAUAGGAAUUAAUUAAAAACGUUCGUGGACACGCACUGUAAGUAUCUGACAAAUUUUGUAGAAUGCAAUGCGCGCUCAGCACCUCCAGUCACGAUUGCGAAAUCGAAAGCGAAACGAAAAAGGAUGCGUGCGCGCAUUCAAACGCAAUAUCAAUAAAAUCAUACAAACGAUAAGCCAGUUGAGUUUGUGGCAAACUAUUUUACAGUGCUUGAGUAUUGUCUGUUAUUGCAUAUAAUAAUUCAUACUCAGAAAGCAGAACUGAGAUGGUAUUUAUUGCAAUAUUAGUUCAAACGUUUCAAAUGCACCUGCAGACUAUUUUUCCAGGCAUGUUUUUCAUCAGUGAAGAUUUCUUAAAAUAGUGUAAAAAUUUAGUUUAGUCUCAUUCUUGUGAACCCUAUCUCUUGUCUCGACUCAGAUUUUUGCCUUCACUUUGAUGUUGCUUAAAUCUGUUUCAACGUGUUUA